RNAcentral lists this ribosomal RNA (2220 nucleotides) under Triticum aestivum (bread wheat). RNAcentral's name for it is "partial small subunit ribosomal RNA". The record is from RNAcentral. Lineage: Eukaryota; Viridiplantae; Streptophyta; Magnoliopsida; Poales; Poaceae.
AUGGGGACGUCCGUGCAGGUGAUGCCGCUGAGCGGGGCGUACGGGGAAGGUCCCCUUUGCUAUCUGCUCGCCGUCGACGGCUUCCGUUUCCUCCUCGACUGCGGCUGGACCGACCACUGCGACCCCGCCCUCCUCCAGCCCCUCGCCAGGGUUGCGCCAACAAUAGAUGCUGUUCUUCUGUCUCAUCCUGACAUGAUGCAUCUAGGAGCUUUGCCCUAUGCUAUAAAACAUCUUGGAUUAUCUGCACCAGUAUACGCAACAGAACCUGUGUUUAGGCUUGGCCUUUUAACCAUGUAUGAUUAUUUUCUAUCUCGAUGGCAAGUUGCAGACUUUGACUUGUUUUCUUUGGAUGAUAUUGAUGCCGCGUUCCAGAAUGUUGUGAGACUGAAAUAUUCACAAAAUCACCUUCUUAACGCAGAUAAAGGUGAAGGAAUAGUUAUUGCGCCACAUGUGUCGGGCCAUCUUUUGGGGGGUACAGUAUGGAAGAUAACAAAAGAUGGAGAGGAUGUCGUCUAUGCUGUUGACUUUAACCACCGAAAAGAGAGGCAUUUGAAUGGUACUACCCUUGGAUCUUUUGUACGGCCAGCUGUUUUGAUUACUGAUGCUUACAAUGCCUUGAACAAUCAGGUCUACAAAAGGCAGCAGGAUCAAGAUUUCAUUGAUUCAAUGUUGAAAGUUCUAUCAAGUGGCGGUAGCGUAUUACUGCCUGUUGACACAGCUGGUAGAGUGCUAGAACUUCUUUUAAUAAUGGAGCAGUACUGGGCUCAACGACAUUUGGACUAUCCUAUCUAUUUUCUGACAAAUGUUUCUACUAGUACUGUUGAUUUUGUCAAGAGUUUUCUUGAAUGGAUGAGUGAUUCGAUCUCAAAGUCUUUUGAACACACUAGAGAUAAUGCCUUCUUAUUAAGACAUGUCUCACUGAUAAUUAACAAAGAAGAGCUAGAGAAACUGGGAGAUGCUCCAAAGGUGGUUCUAGCAUCCAUGUCAAGUUUGGAGGUUGGCUUUUCUCAUGACAUUUUUGUUGAGAUGGCAAAUGAAGCUAAAAAUCUAGUGCUUUUUACUGAGAAGGGUCAGUUUGGGACACUUGCUCGCAUGCUUCAAGUGGAUCCACCCCCCAAAGCCGUAAAAGUCACUAUGAGCAAGCGAGUUCCUUUAGUUGGUGAUGAGCUGAAAGCUUAUGAAGAGGAACAAGAACGGAUAAAAAAGGAAGAAGUGCUAAAGGCUAGCAUCAGCAAGGAGAAGGAGCUAAAGGCUUCUCAUGAAUCAAAUGCAAAGGCUUCUGACCCCAUGGUUGUUGAUGCAAGCUCGUCUCGUAAAUCAUCCAAUGCUGGCUCACAUGUUGGCGGGAGUGUGGAUAUUCUAAUUGAUGGAUUUGUCUCUCCGGUGACCAGCAUCGCUCCAAUGUUUCCUUUCUUUGAAAAUACUGCUGACUGGGAUGACUUCGGCGAGGUUAUCAAUCCUGAUGAUUAUAUGAUGAAACAAGAUGAAAUGGAUAGUAAUAUGAUGCUCGGUGCUGGAGAUGGCAUGGAUGGUAAGCUCGAUGAGAGCUCAGCACGCCUUCUUCUUGAUUCAGCACCGUCAAAAGUUAUUUCCAACGAGAUGACUGUGCAAGUGAAGUGCUCAUUGGCAUAUAUGGACUUUGAAGGUCGGUCCGAUGGACGUUCCGUAAAAUCAGUUAUUGCUCAUGUGGCCCCACUGAAACUCGUUUUGGUGCAUGGAUCAGCAGAAGCUACUGAACAUUUAAAAAUGCAUUGUGCAAAAAACUCUGACUUGCAUGUUUAUGCUCCUCAGAUAGAAGAAACAAUUGAUGUAACAUCAGAUUUAUGUGCUUACAAGGUACAACUUUCUGAGAAGUUAAUGAGCAAUGUCAUUUCUAAGAAGUUGGGUGAGCAUGAAAUUGCAUGGGUUGAUUCAGGGGUUGGAAAGGUGGAUGAGAAGCUCACUUUGCUACCCCCCUCAUCAACUCCAGCAGCCCACAAGUCAGUUCUUGUGGGUGAUCUGAAAUUGGCCGAUUUCAAGCAAUUCCUAGCAAAUAAAGGUUUACAGGUUGAGUUUGCUGGGGGUGCUCUACGGUGUGGGGAGUACAUCACCGUGCGCAAGAUUGGCGAUUCUAACCAAAAGGGUAGCACGGGUUCUCAGCAGAUUGUGGUCGAGGGUCCGCUGUGCGAGGACUACUACAAGAUCCGCGAGCUCCUUUAUUCACAAUUCUUCUUGUUGUAG